This 252-nucleotide ribosomal RNA is filed under the name uncultured bacterium. Its description in RNAcentral is "partial 16S ribosomal RNA". It matches the Rfam family "Bacterial small subunit ribosomal RNA", at positions 524 to 776 of the family's 1533-position model. The record is from RNAcentral.
UACAGAGGUCUCAAGCGUUGUUCGGAUUCAUUGGGCGUAAAGGGUGCGUAGGUGGCGCGCUAGGCCGGUGUGAAAUUUCGGAGCUUAACUCCGAAACUGCAUUUGAUACUGGUGUGCUUGAGGACUGGAGAGGAGACUGGAAUUUACGGUGUAGCAGUGAAAUGCGUAGAGAUCGUAAGGAAGACCAGUGGCGAAGGCGGGUCUCUGGACAGUUCCUGACACUGAGGCACGAAGGCCAGGGGAGCAAACGGG